Molecule: ribosomal RNA, 417 nt
Filed under: Triticum aestivum (bread wheat)
Lineage: Eukaryota; Viridiplantae; Streptophyta; Magnoliopsida; Poales; Poaceae
Description: partial small subunit ribosomal RNA
Source: RNAcentral
AUGGCGACGGCGACGGCCGUGCUGCUCGUCGUGCUCCUCGUGGCCGGCGCCUCCGCGGGCGCGUCAAAGCCCCCGCCGCCGCCGUGUAGUCGGUCGUGCGCGACCCUCAACUGCGACUCGGUGGGGAUCCGGUACGGCAAGUUCUGCGGCGUGGGGUGGAGCGGGUGCGAGGGGGAGGACCCCUGCGACGACCUCGACGCCUGCUGCCGCGACCAUGACAGCUGCGUCGACAAGAAAGGUCUGAUGAGUAUCAAAUGCCACGAGAAGUUCAAGAAUUGCAUGAGGAGAGUGAAGAAGACUGGGAAGGCCGGCUUCUCCAAGAAAUGCCCAUAUGAAUUGGCUAUGGCGACGAUGACUCAGGGGAUGGACAUGGCGAUCAUGCUCAGCCAGUUGGGCAGCCAGAAGUUGGAACUGUAG